RNA transcript from Hevea brasiliensis (rubber tree), 2673 nucleotides. RefSeq lists it as uncharacterized. The transcript has 5 exons. Lineage: Eukaryota; Viridiplantae; Streptophyta; Magnoliopsida; Malpighiales; Euphorbiaceae. The record is from RefSeq and is a predicted model, not a curated record.
ACAUCUUCCUAAAUCAAGGCUUUAAACCUUGAGUGAUAUUUCCAUUGAGUGAAUAUUUCAAUAAUUUAGUUUCUAUUUUAUUUUAAUCAGGCUCUAUUUAUUUACCAAAAAAACAACAAAGAAUAAAUCGAUUAAUUUAUGUUGAAGUAUUAGCUUUCUUCUCUCAAGCCCCUUCCUGUAGGCAAGCUAUUCAUGGUUGAUAAUGGCUUUCGGUAGUCAUUCUAGGGUAUGGGAAUCACUUUCAGCCGUUACUUGCUGCAGAUCUCUAGUUUUUGCCUAUGAUAGCACUUGUAUCUUACAGAUCGGUUUGGCAGCUGAAUCCCCUGAUUAGGGUGAAGAACUGGCUAUGGAUGCUGUCAAAUUGAUGCAAUCAUUGCUUUAUCGAGCUGUUAUGAAGUUCGGAGCUCGUAAUAAUUGCCAGAGAGCAAUUUGGCCACCUUAUCUCUUUAUCCUGGCAGUUAUUUUGCAGCUACUUGGAGAAAAAAGAAUUGCUAUAGUUGGUGGUGAAACGAUUUAGGGGUUUCACAACUUCUGACCUGGUGCUUCUUUUCAUAUCUUUGUCCAUGUCUGAACUCCAAGGAGCAACUAUUUCAUGCUUCCAUUUUCUUUCUGCUGAUUUUAAUGUUUCUCAUAUCCCAAAUGGAUUACUGCCAAGGCAGUUGAAAAGCCAGGUCAACCUGUCUGACUUGACCAACACCAAGUGAACUGACCCAAAUUUAUCAGCUUUACUGCACAAUCUAUUGGGCUUGGGUAAAAUUUGCUGAAGUGCUAUUGUUUCAGGUUCAGUUUUUUAACAACGGUAUCAAUUUUAAUUUGUAAACUGACUUAUAAUUUUAAAAGCACAGUUUGUUUUUCCCAAAUUGCUUGGUUACUUGGAGAUGGGAUUUCUUCUAAUACUUGUUGAUGUCACUCGUGUCAUUGCUGUUGCCGAAGGGAUUAUUAGGUGUACCCGAUACGCAUGCACUCCUCUCUAAAAAAUAUGAGUCCCACCUUCCUAAAAAUAAGAAUAACUAAUUUUUUGUAUCUAAAGGAGACUACAUUUUAGUUCUACCGGUGUAUCCAAUAAUUAGCCCUGUUGCUGUUGUUGUCUUUCUAAGGAUUGUAAGGACCAAUGUUUGGUUAGGUAUAUGUUCUUGGAAAAUGGGAAGUCUGUAGCCUGGCGUAGGAGAUAAGAUUGGCCUGAACUUAAAUUAAUAUGAAUAUAAAUUUCUAAUGGAGGGCUGCAACUGCAGUUGGCCAAUUUCUUGCUAGGAAGAUGUAACUGGACAUUUAAAUUUAUCCAAUCUAAUGAGUGAUGGAAAUCCAUUCAAUUUGGUUUAUUUGUUUCAUAACCAGCUUGAAACACAGGUCAGGCCAAGACCCAACCAAACCUGACUUAGAGCUUUUUACACUCCCUAUUACCAACUUUCUAACAGGUCAUGCCUUUUUGUCCCCAGUGAUCUGCCACUUGAUUUUAGAUUAUAUUUUAUGUGCUUUUUUUUUCUCCCAAUUUUCUUCUAUUUGCAAGUGUGGAUUACAUUUAUUGGAGAGAAACUUUAUGCUACACUAGGAAAAUAUGUGAUCAACAACCCAUUGGCAGUUCAUGAUAGAUAGAAUUUGAAACUAGACUCUUUCAGGCUUUUUGAACUCCCAUGUGCAUUAUAUUCACUGUAUCCUUUAUUCAAGGUAAUUUUUAAUUUAGCAUUAUGCUAACAUCUAACUUCUUAAGUUGCUACUUUGGGAAACCAGUCAUAACGCAUUUUGUCCUGUUUGUUUCAAGAAGUUUUCUUUGUUACUCGUGCUCUUGGCUUUCCAACAUGUCUUCUCUCCAUUUGUUUAUUUUUAGAAUUUAUGUUUGGUGGCAUCUUUGAUAACUAUGCUUGAAGUAGGCUAGCAAGAAAUUUUUGUCAAAAGCAUUAGUCUUUUAAAUUAUCAUCUUCAUCCAUUCUAUCCGUUUAUUGUUUAUCGCUUAAUUAAAAUGUCCACUAAGCCUUGAGAGUUAUAAAUAGGGAUAACCCAGCGGGAUGUCAUAAUUUUUCUUGCAUCUCAUCCCAAUGAAAUUUGAACUGAGUACCCAAAAGUUGGAAUUCCCUAGUUCAAACACUUGAAGCGUCUUCUCAGGAGCAAACAACGUUUAGCCCAGCUUAUGUAUCAAGUGUGAAUUAAGUGACAAUUCUAUAUGGUUAUAUUGGUUAGGAACAUCCCUGGCAAAUGAGCAGGUGAGGCCAUUUUGCCAACUGUAGGCUAUGAUGCUGUUCUGAAAAUUAGUGUUUAGUUUUGAAAACAUUCUUUUUCCAUGGCUAGCGGCCGGUGUUGCUAUGAGAUGGAACAUUAGUGUUGAAUUUUGAAAACAUGCUUUCUUCAUGGCUAGCUCCUAGCUUCAUUGCAAUGAGAUGGAUACAAAUGGAAUAUCUUUUAAAUAUGAAAGAGUUUUUGUUGAGGCUGGGACAAACUUAUCAAGAUUCAACGUCAUAUAGAAUUUGCCAGGCAGUUCUGUUGCUACUCCUGAUCCUCAAUUUCAUUAUUUCUUGGCUGAAUAUAUUGGAGUCUUACCCUCUUGAGAGCAUAAUGACCGUUAUAGUGGCAUUCCUUUUUUUUGCAUGAAUAUUGUAUGGAAUUGAUAGCAAUGUCCAGAAAAGACAUUCAGAGGAGACUAGAUUUUUAAUAUUUAUCUAAUCUGCCGUCCUUCGUUGA